This is a long non-coding RNA of Ananas comosus (pineapple), 518 nucleotides long. RefSeq lists it as uncharacterized. Lineage: Eukaryota; Viridiplantae; Streptophyta; Magnoliopsida; Poales; Bromeliaceae. The transcript has 2 exons. The record is from RefSeq and is a predicted model, not a curated record.
CUGUUCUAUCGUAGAUGGGCCUAUUUAUGCCGGAGUUGUUAAUCCGGUAGGGUGGCUCGUCAAGAGCGUUGAGGGGCGAGGGGUCAGCAAAAUUGGAAAUCUCGUUCAUGUCGAUCCAUAAGCCAUCGACGGGGAUAAUUUGUCGGAAUAUCGCGAUCUCUCGGGCCCAGAACACAGCUGCAGCUGGGUUCAGGAAAUCCGGGAAAUAGACCGGCCCUGGCCACACGUUUCCCACGAAGGAAGUUCACGGGGUCGAGGGUGAAGUCCUUGAACCCAUCCAUGUAGUCGAUAUCGGUCCACAUUACUUCGAGAGGGAUCUUGGCUUUGGCAUAGCCCGCGACGACGUCUUUGAGGUCUGAUACAUCCUUGAACUUGUAAUGGCACUGGUGAAAUCCUAGAGCAUAGAAAAAUUUUCUAGUUUUGUUCCUUGAUAUAUAGUACCAGAAAUUUUAGCAACUUUGUUUGGUAGACAUUUGAUUUUUUGCUUUUCCAAUAAAGAAGCUGUUUCAGAAACCUUA